This 497-nucleotide ribosomal RNA is filed under the name uncultured bacterium. RNAcentral describes it as "partial 16S ribosomal RNA". It matches the Rfam family "Bacterial small subunit ribosomal RNA", at positions 28 to 507 of the family's 1533-position model. The record is from RNAcentral.
GAUGAACGCUGGCGGCGUGCCUAAUACAUGCAAGUCGAGCGAACGGACGAGAAGCUUGCUUCUCUGAUGUUAGCGGCGGACGGGUGAGUAACACGUGGAUAACCUACCUAUAAGACUGGGAUAACUUCGGGAAACCGGAGCUAAUACCGGAUGAUAUUUUGAACCGCAUGGUUCAAAAGUGAAAGACGGUCUUCCUGUCACUUAUAGAUGGAUCCGCGCUGCAUUAGCUAGUUGGUAAGGUAACGGCUUACCAAGGCAACGAUGCAUAGCCGACCUGAGAGGGUGAUCGGCCACACUGGAACUGAGACACGGCCCAGACUCCUACGGGAGGCAGCAGUAGGGAAUCUUGCGCAAUGGGCGAAAGCCUGACGGAGCAACGCCGCGUGAGUGAUGAAGGUCUUCGGAUCGUAAAACUCUUUUAUUAGGGAAGAACAUAUGUGGAAGUAACUGUGCACAUCUUGACGGUACCUAAUCAGAAAGCCACGGCUAACUACGUG